This is a long non-coding RNA of Hydra vulgaris (swiftwater hydra), 350 nucleotides long. RefSeq lists it as uncharacterized. The record is from RefSeq and is a predicted model, not a curated record. NCBI's taxonomy places the organism in Eukaryota, Metazoa, Cnidaria, Hydrozoa, Anthoathecata, Hydridae.
GCACGGGUAUUGAACAAAAAUUUAGUAAACAAAUUUAGUAAAUAAAUAAUAAAUAGUAUAUUUUGCACUACUCGAACAAUAUGCUCAGAUAGAACAAGCUCUGCUGAAUCAGUGCAAAUCAUUACCAGCACUGCCACAGAUGAAACGCAGGAAGCUCGCGUGUGUCUAAUAACAAAACUGCCUUUUUUCAAAAAGCAUCGACACAGUUAUAUCAAAAAUAAACGUAAAAAAAACACAAAAACAAGAGAGCUAUGUGGAUUCUAGUAGACGCUCAUUUGAAAAGACGUCGGAGUUUCGACACAUGAGACAUGGAGAUGUGGUUGGUUUUUGCAUAAAUAAGAAAAAAAUAA